GGGCUGGAGAUGUACACACACUAAAGCUGGGCGGGCGAUACAGAGAAGAUUAGCAUGGCCCCUGCGCAAGGAUGGCACGAAAAUCAUGAAGCGUUCCAAAAACAA
RNAcentral lists this small nuclear RNA (105 nucleotides) under Mus pahari (shrew mouse). The record is from RNAcentral. Lineage: Eukaryota; Metazoa; Chordata; Mammalia; Rodentia; Muridae.